GGGCACGGAAGUUGUGCAUUCAAGACCAUCCCAGACCUCGCCCUGUGUGUGUCUUCAUUUGGCUGCGUCCUGAUCUGUAUCCUUUACAACAAACCUAUAAUCAUAAAAUAUAGCACUUCCUUGAGCUGUGUGAGUCAUUCUAGCAAACUAUUGAUUCUGAGAGGGGUCAUGGAAACCCUCCAGAUUUGUGGCCUUUGGGUCAGAAUCGCGGGUGGCCUGGGGACCCCUGAACUUGUGCCUGGUGUCUGCAGUGGGAGCAGUCUUAAUGGGGACCACGCCCUUAAACCUGUGGGAUAUGCGCCAACUCCAGGUGGAAUUCAUGAAGCUUAGAACAGCGCUUGUGUCAAAGGAGCGACAUUGUGGAAAACACAUGGAGAUCGGAAUUACCGUUUUUGGAGACUGUAUAGAUCUGGCGGACCAGAUUUUCACAUAAAUUCAUUCAACCAAGGAAGUCUAAAAGCUUCAUGAAGCUUCAUCCUUGGCUGGCUCCCCGUCAUGGUUCCACAUCAUUUGCAUCUCUACUUCUUCAUGCUGCGUCGUCCUGAUGGAGGUGGAGAGUCUGUCCUGCAUCCAAGCAUGAAUCCCAAGAUCCACUUGACCAGACAGUGAUGCCUGUGGCCAGGGCAAUGGGUACACCCAGAGGCCUAUGUCCACUGAGCCACCAACCCAGUUGAUCUGUGAUGGCUGAGUUGUGUCCCCGUAAAUUCACAUGCUGAACUCAUAACCCCAAGUGCCUCAGAAUGUGACUGUAUUUGGAGAUGGGGCCUUUAAAGGGAUAAUUAAGGUAAAGUGAGGUCAUAUGGGUGGGCCCUAACCCGAUAUAGCUGGUGUCUUUAUAAGAAGGGGC
RNAcentral lists this long non-coding RNA (847 nucleotides) under Equus caballus (horse). RNAcentral describes it as "lncRNA (ENSECAG00000056913.1)". Lineage: Eukaryota; Metazoa; Chordata; Mammalia; Perissodactyla; Equidae. The record is from RNAcentral.